AAAAUGUGUAACCGAAUAAAAGCUGCUAACUUUAUAUUCAAGUGGUGAAAUUCCAUUUACAUUUUA
RNAcentral lists this transfer RNA (66 nucleotides) under Haania vitalisi. RNAcentral's name for it is "tRNA-Ser". The record is from RNAcentral. Lineage: Eukaryota; Metazoa; Arthropoda; Insecta; Mantodea; Haaniidae.